This 198-nucleotide ribosomal RNA is filed under the name uncultured bacterium. Its description in RNAcentral is "partial 16S ribosomal RNA". It matches the Rfam family "Bacterial small subunit ribosomal RNA", at positions 328 to 539 of the family's 1533-position model. The record is from RNAcentral.
ACGCUCGACACCUACGGGGGGCAGCAGUGGGGAAUAUUGCACAAUGGGGGAAACCCUGAUGCAGCGACGCCGCGUGAAGGAAGAAGUAUCUCGGUAUGUAAACUUCUAUCAGCAGGGAAGAAAAUGACGGUACCUGACUAAGAAGCCCCGGCUAACUACGUGCCAACAGCCGCGGUAAUCUGAGCGGGCUGGCAAGGC